AGAGCGUAGGGAGGAUACCUAGGCACCAAGAGCCGAAGAAGGACGUGAUAAGCUGCGAAAAGCUAUGGUAAGGAGCAAAUAUCCUAUGACCCAUAGAUAUCCGAAUGAGGGAACUCAUCCACAGAAAAAAGUGUGGAUAUCCAUAUAUGAGUAAAGUAGUAUAUAGGAAGGGAACGCAAGGAACUGAAACAUCUUAGUACUUGUAGGAAGAGAAAGAAAAAUCGAUUCUGUGAGUAGUGGCGAGCGAAAGCGGAAGAGCCCAAACCAAUGUUGCUUGCAACGUUGGGGUUCGGACUACAUAAUCCAUUUAUCGAGCGAAUAAGAAUUGUUUGGGAAGGCAAAUCAUAGAAGGUGAAAAUCCUGUAUUAGAAGUGAGAUAGAGGAGGUAGUAUCCAGAGUAGUGCGAGGCACGUGAAACCUCGUAUGAAAGAGCGGGGACCACCCCGUAAGGCUAAAUACUACUUGGUGACCGAUAGAGAUUAGUACCGUGAGGGAAAGGUGAAAAGAACCCCGGGAGGGGAGUGAAAUAGAACAUGAAACCCUAUGCUUACAAACAGACAAAGCACGUUAAGGUGUGAUGUCGUACUUUUUGUAGAACGGUCCAGCGAGUUAUUGUAUAUGGCAAGGUUAAGCACUAUGUAAGGUGUGAAGCCGAAGCGAAAGCGAGUCUGAAAAGGGCGAAUUAAGUCAUAUGUAAUAGACCCGAAACCGGGUGACCUAACCAUGGUCAGGAUGAAGCUUGAGUAAAAUCAAGUGGAGGUCCGAACUGAUAAGCGUUAAAAAGCUUCCGGAUGAACUGUGGUUAGCGGAGAAAUUCCAAUCGAACUCGGAGAUAGCUGGUUCUCCUCGAAAUAGCUUUAGGGCUAGCCUUGAUGUAAAGAUAUAUGGGGGUAGAGCACUGAAGGUGCUAGGGGCCUAAACCAGGUUACUGAACACUAUCAAACUCCGAAUACCAUAUAUUAGUAGUCAGGAGUCAGACUGCGGGAGCUAAGUUCCGUGGUCAAAAGGGAAAGAGCCCAGAUCGUCAAUUAAGGUCCCAAAGAUAUAGCUAAGUGGGAAACGAUGUGAAAUUGCGUAAACAACCAGGAUGUUGGCUUAGAAGCAGCCAUACAUUUAAAGAGUGCGUAAUAGCUCACUGGUCGAGUGAAUUUGCGCGGAAAAUUACCGGGGCUAAGCUAUACACCGAAAUUGCGGGUUCAUAAGUAAUUAUGAGCGGUAGAGGAGCAUUCUGUAGUAGGGUGAAGUAUGAUCGAAAGGACAUAUGGACGAGGCAGAAGAGAGAAUGCUGGAAUAAGUAGCGAGAGCAAAGUGAGAAUCUUUGCCGUCGAAAGUCUAAGGUUUCCUGGGGAAGGUUCGUCCGCCCAGGGUAAGUCGGGACCUAAGGUGAGGCCAAGGAGGCGUAGCCGAUGGAUAGCAGGUAUAAAAUUCCUGCACUACCGAAAUACUUAAAAACGAUAAGGGACGCAGGAGAGGAAGGAAAUCCGGGAAGAGGAAAAACCGGAGCCGAAAGGCAUAGUGAAAAUUUAAAGUAACGAAGUUCCAAGAAUCACACUGACGAGAAAAGCUUAUUGACAUUGUAUUAAGGUACCCGUACCGCAAACCGACACAGGUAGAUGAGGAGAGGAUCCUAAGACGAGCGAGAGAAGUACUGUUAAGGAACUCGGCAAACUAACCCCGUAACUUAGGGAGAAGGGGUACCUAUGUAAAAGUAGGUCGCAGAGAAGAGUCCCAAGCAACUGUUUAACAAAAACACAGGUUUCUGCUAAAUCGAAAGAUGAAGUAUAGGAGCUGACGCCUGCCCAGUGCUGGAAGGUUAAGGGGAAAUGUUAGAGUAAUCGAAGCAUAGAACUAAAGCCCCAGUGAACGGCGGCCGUAACUAUAACGGUCCUAAGGUAGCGAAAUUCCUUGUCAGGUAAGUUCUGACCCGCACGAAAGGCGUAAUGAUUUGGGAGCUGUCUCGACAGUAUACUCGGCGAAAUUGUAGUACUAGUGAAGAUGCUAGUUACCUGCGACAAGACAGAAAGACCCCAUGGAGCUUUACUGUAGCUUGAUAUUGGGUUUCGGUAAUUUAUGUACAGGAUAGGUGGGAGACUAUGAAGCAAGAGCGUCAGCUUUUGUGGAGUCACCCUUGGGAUACCACCCUUAAAUUAUUGGAAUUCUAACCUGUGAUCACGAACUGGUCAGGGGACAAUGUCAGGCGGGCAGUUUGACUGGGGCGGUCGCCUCCUAAAGAGUAACGGAGGCGCCCAAAGGUUUCCUCAACCCGGACAGAAAUCGGGUGAAAGAGUGCAAAGGCAGAAGGAAGCUUAACUGAAAGACAGACAUGUCGAGCAGAUACGAAAGUAGGGCUUAGUGAUCCGGUGGUAUGUGAGUGGAAAUGCCAUCGCUCAACGGACAAAAGUUACCCUGGGGAUAACAGGCUUAUCUCUCCCAAGAGUUCACAUCGACGGGGAGGUUUGGCACCUCGAUGUCGGCUCAUCGCAUCCUGGAGCGGAAGUACGUUCCAAGGGUUGGGCUGUUCGCCCAUUAAAGCGGUACGCGAGCUGGGUUCAGAACGUCGUGAGACAGUUCGGUCCUUAUCUGUCGCAGGCGCAGGAUAUUUGAAGGGAGUUGUCCUUAGUACGAGAGGACCAGGAUGAACAUACCGAUGGUGCAACAGUUGUCACACCAGUGGCAUAGCUGUGUAGCUAAGUAUGGAAGGGAUAAACGCUGAAAGCAUCUAAGUGUGAAGCCCACCCUAAGAUAAGAUAUCCCACAACGUUAAGUUGG
Molecule: ribosomal RNA, 2769 nt
Filed under: human gut metagenome
Description: bacterial LSU rRNA
Rfam family: Bacterial large subunit ribosomal RNA
Source: RNAcentral